UUAAAUUCAUAUACAAUAGGCAUAGCAUGAACAAAUGAAAAUAAUGAUUUGUUGGAGAAAAGACAGUGUGAGAGUAGGGGCCAUGUGAGAAGAUGAAAGCUCAGAGAAAGAGAAGGAAGUGGAUCAUAUAGUCAUGUGAGUGUGGCCAGCACCGUGUUCUCGUGUCUAAGUCCAUGCACACACCAUGCAUUGACUGCCAUAGACUGAUAAAGCCAUGGUCUUAGAAGAAGAAGAAGAAGAAGACUAGUUGGGGGUAAGGUGGUCACUGGUCAGUGGUCACAGACCCACACACACGUGCAUGCAGGGGAGGUGGUCCAUAAAACGAGCACAAAGGAAUUUUGUAUGCAUCAUCAUGGGUUAUAAGACAUGGGCGGUGGUAGGACAUGAAGCACAUCAACAGCUGAACCUUGGAUCAAAGCAUCAACUUCUCAGCCUCCAUCUCUUUUGUUUUGUCUUCCUAGUAUUUUUUUUAAAGAAUUUUGUUAAGUAUAUCAACGACUUUUAGAUGAAUUGGUAAACCUUCUAACUUCAUUUUUAUAUAGAGUUUCCAUUUGACCUAAGGUCAACACUUUUAGUGCAGUUUUCAUAUCAACAGUAGGAACCACUAGUUACGAAUUAUGAUGUUGAAGCCACUAAUUUUCACAAGACAAAUGAUUCUUAGUGUCUAAGAAAGCUAUGAUGGCAGUCCUGUACAGAGUUUCCUGGCCUUUUAUUCCGGAUUAUAUGUCGGAAAUGAAUGAAAAGGGUUGAUCAUGGGGUCUUGGGGAAGAGAAUUUUUCUAUAAUAACAGACAUUCUUUUGGUAACAAGAACAAUCAUAAUAACAGGCUACAAGAGCAACCACUCAUUAGGCUUAAUUUCUAUUGUGGAAUGGAAUUCCAUUGACGUCUGAUUAAACACUACUAUAUAGCAAUACAACAACAAUGGCCACUUUCAUUUAAGGUCAGUUUUCCAGAUCUCAGAAGAACACA
Non-coding RNA from Arachis ipaensis, 970 nucleotides. The record is from RefSeq and is a predicted model, not a curated record. Lineage: Eukaryota; Viridiplantae; Streptophyta; Magnoliopsida; Fabales; Fabaceae.